RNAcentral lists this transfer RNA (76 nucleotides) under Salinisphaera shabanensis. Its description in RNAcentral is "tRNA-Gly". It matches the Rfam family "tRNA". From Rfam's summary of the family: Transfer RNA (tRNA) molecules are approximately 80 nucleotides in length. Their secondary structure includes four short double-helical elements and three loops (D, anti-codon, and T loops). Further hydrogen bonds mediate the characteristic L-shaped molecular structure. tRNAs have two regions of fundamental functional importance: the anti-codon, which is responsible for specific mRNA codon recognition, and the 3' end, to which the tRNAs corresponding amino acid is attached (by aminoacyl-tRNA synthetases). tRNAs cope with the degeneracy of the genetic code in two manners: having more than one tRNA (with a specific anti-codon) for a particular amino acid; and 'wobble' base-pairing, i.e. permitting non-standard base-pairing at the 3rd anti-codon position. RNAcentral also lists the same sequence under 16 other names. Lineage: Bacteria; Pseudomonadati; Pseudomonadota; Gammaproteobacteria; Salinisphaerales; Salinisphaeraceae. The record is from RNAcentral.
GCGGCGGUAGCUCAGUUGGUAGAGCGCGACCCUCCCACGGUCGAGGUCGCGAGUUCGAAUCUCGUCCGCCGCUCCA